UUCUCGGUAGCUUAACGGAUAAGCAAGGUAGAUCGAAUAUCUGUAGGUGCGGGUUCGAGUCCCGCUUGAGGUU
Molecule: transfer RNA, 73 nt
Filed under: Dictyocaulus viviparus (bovine lungworm)
Lineage: Eukaryota; Metazoa; Nematoda; Chromadorea; Rhabditida; Metastrongylidae
Rfam family: tRNA
About the family: Transfer RNA (tRNA) molecules are approximately 80 nucleotides in length. Their secondary structure includes four short double-helical elements and three loops (D, anti-codon, and T loops).
Source: Rfam by way of RNAcentral